RNAcentral lists this long non-coding RNA (250 nucleotides) under Carica papaya (papaya). RNAcentral describes it as "long non-coding RNA (CPAP_LNC004384)". Lineage: Eukaryota; Viridiplantae; Streptophyta; Magnoliopsida; Brassicales; Caricaceae. The record is from RNAcentral.
AUUGAACUCUGAGCGGUCCCCCCUAAGCCAUGAGUCCUUCCAAAAACUAAUUCUAUCCCUAAUGCCUACCAUCCGCUUGGUGCAUUCUCGUGAAUAUAUUCCUACCCAUGAAUAUUUUUUUUUCCACAUUCCCUUCCCAUGCGGUCUUGACAAUUAUCUAGAAUACCAUUCACUAUUCAUGGUGCUGAACUUUGUUUUUAUCAUCUUCUGUGAUAGACUACCAUUCUCUUUCAUGAACCUCUAAAGCCAC